RNAcentral lists this ribosomal RNA (335 nucleotides) under uncultured Planctomycetales bacterium. RNAcentral's name for it is "bacterial SSU rRNA". It matches the Rfam family "Bacterial small subunit ribosomal RNA", at positions 473 to 806 of the family's 1533-position model. The record is from RNAcentral. Lineage: Bacteria; Pseudomonadati; Planctomycetota; Planctomycetia; Planctomycetales.
CUAAGGCUCCAGAGGAAGCCACGGCUAACUCUGUGCCAGCAGCCGCGGUAAUACAGAGGCGGCAAGCGUUGUUCGGAAUUAUUGGGCGUAAAGAGCACGUAGGCGGCCCUGCAAGUCAGUUGUGAAAGCCUUCCGCUUAACGGAAGAAUGCCAGCUGAUACUACAGGGCUUGAGUACGGGAGGGGAGAGUGGAACUUCCGGUGGAGCGGUGAAAUGCGUAGAUAUCAGAAGGAACGCCGGCGGCGAAAGCGACUCUCCGGCCCGAAACUGACGCUGAGUGUGCGAAAGCUAGGGGAGCAAACGGGAUUAGAUACCCCGGUAGUCCUAGCCGUAAA